AUGUGAGACUUGGUAGUAAGAUGAUUGGAGACAUUGGAAGUCUUGAGAUAGAGGUCUUUAGCAAUAACCAA
This 71-nucleotide microRNA precursor is filed under the name Medicago truncatula (barrel medic). Its description in RNAcentral is "miR5218 stem-loop (mtr-MIR5218)". Lineage: Eukaryota; Viridiplantae; Streptophyta; Magnoliopsida; Fabales; Fabaceae. The record is from miRBase by way of RNAcentral.